GGCAACUUGGCCGAGUGGUCUAAGGCGACGCACUCAAGUUGCGUUCUCGCAAGAGGCGUGAGUUCGAAUCUCACAGUUGUCA
Molecule: transfer RNA, 82 nt
Filed under: Chaetomium globosum CBS 148.51
Lineage: Eukaryota; Fungi; Ascomycota; Sordariomycetes; Sordariales; Chaetomiaceae
Also listed under: 1 other name
Description: tRNA-Leu (CAA) (tRNA-Leu-CAA-2-1)
Rfam family: tRNA
About the family: Transfer RNA (tRNA) molecules are approximately 80 nucleotides in length. Their secondary structure includes four short double-helical elements and three loops (D, anti-codon, and T loops). Further hydrogen bonds mediate the characteristic L-shaped molecular structure. tRNAs have two regions of fundamental functional importance: the anti-codon, which is responsible for specific mRNA codon recognition, and the 3' end, to which the tRNAs corresponding amino acid is attached (by aminoacyl-tRNA synthetases). tRNAs cope with the degeneracy of the genetic code in two manners: having more than one tRNA (with a specific anti-codon) for a particular amino acid; and 'wobble' base-pairing, i.e. permitting non-standard base-pairing at the 3rd anti-codon position.
Source: RNAcentral